This 253-nucleotide ribosomal RNA is filed under the name uncultured bacterium. Its description in RNAcentral is "partial 16S ribosomal RNA". It matches the Rfam family "Bacterial small subunit ribosomal RNA", at positions 524 to 776 of the family's 1533-position model. The record is from RNAcentral.
GACGUAGGGCGCGAGCGUUGUCCGGAUUUAUUGGGCGUAAAGCGCUCGUAGGCGGCUUGUCGCGUCGGCUGUGAAAUCCCGUGGCUCAACUGCGGGUCUGCAGCCGAUACGGGCAGGCUAGAGUUCGGUAGGGGAGACUGGAAUUCCUGGUGUAGCGGUGAAAUGCGCAGAUAUCAGGAGGAACACCGGUGGCGAAGGCGGGUCUCUGGGCCGAUACUGACGCUGAGGGGCGAAAGCGUGGGGAGCGAACAGG